Long non-coding RNA from Vitis vinifera (wine grape), 1302 nucleotides. RefSeq lists it as uncharacterized. The transcript is spliced from 2 exons. The record is from RefSeq and is a predicted model, not a curated record. NCBI's taxonomy places the organism in Eukaryota, Viridiplantae, Streptophyta, Magnoliopsida, Vitales, Vitaceae.
CUUGUCGUUUCACGAUAUAAAUAUAAAGAAUAGAAAAAUAUGGGAGUAAUAUUUUGGCCCAAAAAUCAAGGCCACAGUCAACUUAUUGCUGCAAGACUUGUGUAAAGAUAAUUGUUAUAUUUAACUAAUUAUCUUUCGGUCCAUUUUUCUGAACAAGUUGUCCACUGUUGUGAAUCUAAUUAUGAAUGUCAGAUUCGUUUUCUCCACAAUUUGUCUACUGUAUAAAAAAUAUGCUCUUCAACAUGAUUUCUUAAUUUAUUUGGAUUGACCAGGUGGUUUGAAUAUUCUUGUAGUAAAUGUUCAAUGGAUGUGUAUGUAUUUGUGUUUGUAUUUUCCAAAUGAGUUUUUCAAAUCAUGUUGGAGCAUUUUAGGAUACAAAGCAAAUUUAGGGGCAUUGGCUUUAUAUCUUGCAGGAGAGCUCAUUCAGAUGAUUAUAGGGUUCCUCUUUCCAACUUCUAUUUGAUUGAUGCUAUUUAUAUCACACUGCAAUGUAACAAAAAUUGAGAUGAUUUUAUUGUUAAAUUUCAAAGGUUCUAACUCAUUGUAAAUUUCUUUAGUAUUUCAGAUAGUGACCCUGUAUUUUGCCAUUUAACAUUUUCCUGCACAAGUCUGAUUCAAAACCUUCGGAAUACAAUGAUUACGCUCUGAAUACCAAAGUCAGGCAAUGAGAUCGUGAAGGAAAAGCAGAAAGUGAUGAUUGAAAGACGCAUGGGAGAGAUGUAGAUCCGCUACCAUUUUUUUAUUAUGGAACACACCAGAGCUUGAUUUAUGUGGUUCCUCAUCUUAUUUGUUUCCCCAUUUACAAUAACUAUGUUUCAAUCCAUAUCUGUCAGUUCUUUUUUUUCUUUUUCUUUUUUUUUUGUCCAUCUUAUUGGUUGCUUUAGUCUUCCAUCUCAAUUCGAAUAUGACGUAGUUGUAAUGGUUUUGUUUGAAAUUAAAAUGGAGGUAAUGGGAAAUGGAAAACAUGAUGCUUUGGAAGGGAAUGAGGAAACUAAAGAAAUAGAAGAACUCGUGAGCCUGGUUAUUGUUGAGACUAGCAUUGAUAUCAAUUCAGAGUGCACCUGAUGCAAAAAACAAUGUUGCACAAGCCUAAGCAACUCGAAAUGAAAGCAGAGGAAUGGACAAUGAUGUACAGUCACGUUUGGACAUGUUGAAGAGAAUGUAGCUAUUUACAUCUUGUAAUUUUGUUGGUUCACUAACUCCAUUGUGAAUGCUCUAUUGUGUCAUUUGCUAUGUAACACGUACAAAAUAACCCCAAAUUUUUUUACUUGGAUUCAAACCAUGUACUGUUAUCUCGAAUUA